Molecule: non-coding RNA, 1247 nt
Organism: Camellia sinensis
Lineage: Eukaryota; Viridiplantae; Streptophyta; Magnoliopsida; Ericales; Theaceae
Source: RefSeq, a predicted model, not a curated record
AAAAUCUUCAAUUCUAGAAAUGGAAAAUAAGAAACUCAAAGGUAUCUUUCAUUUGAUAAUUUCACAAAUUAGAAUAGGUAUUUAAUUAUCUUGUGCUCUUAUAAACGGUUUCUGUAUGAUAUUAUUAAUCUUUAACCCUCUAAUGGUUUUUUUUUUUUCCCUUCUGAAAAUGGUUGUUCCUUUAGUUGAAUUCCAAUGGCAGUUUUUUCUGGUUUGGACAACUUUUCCAAUAACAGUUUAUUUCAUAUAGUAACCAUGUCAAAGUGAGGGAAACAUAUUCUGAAAUUUGGAACAGAGUUACCUGAAAACCAAUUCUAGUGAUCUGCAUCUGAUCCAAAUUUGUUCCUUUAGUUUAAUCUAAAUGAUAAAACAUAAAUAACAAAAAUAAAACAAUGAAGAAAUAUGUAGUAGAAUAUAGUUCUUUGGGAGACUAAAGGAUAGAGUUACAACAAGAGCUUAACAUGCAUAGUAUACACUUAUUUACUUACUUUUAUAUUAUUAGUAUAAUACUACACGCUUUCCAUGUUCCCAUUCCCAUUCGGCCACAACAUUUCAGGCAAUAACAGUUUUCAGUUCCAAUUUUACAUCUUUUACAGAUUGUACUACGGAAUAUCACAACUUGAUCUUUGAGGAAAAAAGCAUUCUCGAGCAUUUGGCUAUACUGUUGGGAAAUCAACCUCAUCAGUUGUGGAAACUGUCCCCUGUGCUAGCUGCAGUUGCUAUUCCAUCCUGGUCACCUUUGUUCAGAUUGUAUCUGAGUGAAUUGGAGGCUCAAUUCAAAGGAGAUUUUUCACCAAUUAGUUGCUGCAGUUGCCUUCAAAAUAGGAAGGAACAUAAAGACUGUGAGCUUGCUGAGAGAAUUUGGUGCCUUCACAUCUACCAUGUUUGUGGCUCCCAUCGAACCUGUGGCACAAACUUUGCAUGAACUACUGCUAAUGAGGCAUGACUAUGACAGGCGUCGUUCAGAUCUCCUGUCUUUAUGCACUGCUUAACUGCCAUGCCUCUUUGUUUUGGAGCUUAGUCUGCCCUUUAUAAGGCUGAAUUUUUUUCUGUAGAGGUGGUGAAAGACAGUCCUCGGGAAAAUAUAAAUCCAUGGAGCACAUUUUGAGCUGUAUAGUUAGCCGAGAGGUAUUAGUAGGAUGUGCAUGUAUACAUAUAUAAAGCAAAAAGGUCUUUCUAAUGAACGUGCCCCAAACCCUUAUACUAAAAUUUUGUAAUUUAUAUUUAUUUAUUGAUGUGACACAUUA